RNAcentral lists this ribosomal RNA (482 nucleotides) under uncultured bacterium. RNAcentral describes it as "bacterial SSU rRNA". It matches the Rfam family "Bacterial small subunit ribosomal RNA", at positions 30 to 506 of the family's 1533-position model. The record is from RNAcentral.
UUGAACGCUGGCGGAAUGCUUUACACAUGCAAGUCGAGCGGCAGCGCGGGGGCAACCCUGGCGGCGAGCGGCGAACGGGUGAGUAAUACAUCGGAACGUACCCAGUUGUGGGGGAUAGCCCGGCGAAAGCCGGAUUAAUACCGCAUAAGUCCUGAGGGAGAAAGCGGGGGACCGUAAGGCCUCGCGCGAUUGGAGCGGCCGAUGUUCGAUUAGCUAGUUGGUGGGGUAAAGGCCUACCAAGGCGACGAUCGAUAGCUGGUCUGAGAGGACGACCAGCCACACUGGAACUGAGACACGGUCCAGACUCCUACGGGAGGCAGCAGUGGGGAAUUUUGGACAAUGGGGGCAACCCUGAUCCAGCCAUUCCGCGUGAGUGAAGAAGGCCUUCGGGUUGUAAACUGCUUUUGUACGGAACGAAACGGUUCUCUUUAAUAAAGAGGGCUAAUGACGGUACCGUAAGAAUAAGCACCGGCUAACUACGU